Molecule: long non-coding RNA, 1208 nt
Filed under: Equus asinus (donkey)
Lineage: Eukaryota; Metazoa; Chordata; Mammalia; Perissodactyla; Equidae
Description: lncRNA (ENSEASG00005031058.1)
Source: RNAcentral
CUGCACCCAGGAUCCGAACCGGUGAACCCCGGCUGGCAAAGUGGAAGUUAACCGCUGUGCCACCAGGCCAGCCCCCUGGAGUUUACUUUUCUUAAGUCACAAGAGGUCUGAAGGCUGAAUAAUGGCUUCCUGACAGAUGUGCAUGUCCUGAUCCCUGAAUCCUAUGGAUCGUUACCUUUCAAGGUAAAAGGAACUUGGUUGAAGAUCUUGAGAUGGGGAGAUAAUUUUGAAUUAUCCAGGUGGGCCCAAGGUAGUGACAAGUGUAUGAUCCAUAAAGAAGAUAUAGAAUCAUUUUUAUGUUUAAAGAGUAUGUAAAUGUUAUCAUCAUCAUUGUCCUCAUCACCAUCAUCAUCAUAAUGGGCACCCAGUUCACUGUGGAAGAGGGAUGGUGAGAGAGAAUGCUUGUAUAUUUCCCAACUGUGAAGAGAAUGCUUUAUGAGGAAAUGGCUGUUUUUUGUCAUCACUUGCUGGGCUAGAUCAGGUCCUCUUCUAUGACUUUUUAAAGACCUCUGUUCACACAGCUGCUUUGGCAAGUCAGGAAUCAAACUGACAGCCCAUUGGAAAGGCAUACCCUGUCACAAGUCUAAAGAGAAACAGAGUGACAGUUCCCAGGCUCAAGUGCAAGGCGCGCCGCUCAAUCUUCUUUGGCUGGCUAGGAUCUUGGUUGAUGCAGGGCGCCGAUGCCAGACAGCAGAGGGCCUGGAGUAACAAAAACAACGCCCCGCAAGCUCAUCCUGAACCAUCAAGGCAGGAAACACAGGCAGAAAUCCAAACUUCAUUAGAGCUGAAGAGAUGAAAUGUGAUAUGGAUCAAUGUUGGGCUCUGCUCCACGUCGUCACUCAGGGAGCCUGGCUUAUUCCCUUGUGUCACUCCACUAUCUUCUGGGACUUUGUUUCCCUCUGCAUUCAGCUACACAUAUGGGGAAAGUGAGAAAAUGUGGAGAAAGCAUACCCACUCUUAACUGCAUUCCCCGGAGGUGAUGCAGGUCACUUCUAUUUACAUUUCAUUGGCUGGAACUCAGUCCAGUGAUUCCUUCUAACUGCGGGGGAGGCUGGGAAAUGUAGUUUGGUGGUGGGACCAGAAGAAGCAGAGAGCUCUCUGCCACAAUGUGCAAUCAUUUUCAAAUAAAUAUAAAGAAAUAAAAUGGGCUUGAUGCUAAAAACAAUAUAAAACAUAUUUAAUAUUUACAUUCUUACAGUGCAUACUGU